RNAcentral lists this unclassified non-coding RNA (287 nucleotides) under fungal sp. Its description in RNAcentral is "partial internal transcribed spacer region". The stretch from base 1 to 46 matches the Rfam family "Eukaryotic small subunit ribosomal RNA", at positions 1786 to 1831 of the family's 1831-position model. Lineage: Eukaryota; Fungi. The record is from RNAcentral.
AAGUCGUAACAAGGUUUCCGUAGGUGAACCUGCGGAAGGAUCAUUAACACUCCAAACGUUAAAACCCCCCCCGUGAACCUUCAUCCUGCUCUUGUAACCCGCGUAGUUCGCAAUCUCUGAUAAAUCAUAGCCCGGAAAGUUGUAGUGAUUCAGAGACCUCUCGCGGGCAGGAGCUUUGCCAAAGGGUCCCCAUGCCCCCUAAUCACCCCACAGUUUAAUGUAAAGCUCAAUGUAAUACAUUGGGUCAAAAAACCGAACAACUGUUAACAAUGGAUAUCUUGGUUCUC